Molecule: ribosomal RNA, 304 nt
Filed under: uncultured bacterium
Lineage: Bacteria
Description: partial 16S ribosomal RNA
Rfam family: Bacterial small subunit ribosomal RNA
Source: RNAcentral
CAGCAGCAGCCGCGGGAAUACGGAGGGUGCAAGCGUUAAUCGGAAUUACUGGGCGUAAAGCGCACGCAGGCGGUCUGACAAGUCAGAUGUGAAAUCCCCGGGCUUAACCUGGGAACUGCAUUUGAAACUGUCAGGCUGGAGUCUUGUAGAGGGGGGUAGAAUUCCAGGUGUAGCGGUGAAAUGCGUAGAGAUCUGGAGGAAUACCGGUGGCGAAGGCGGCCCCCUGGACAAAGACUGACGCUCAGGUGCGAAAGCGUGGGGAGCAAACAGGAUUAGAUACCCGAGUAGUCCCUGUCUCUUAUAC